Molecule: long non-coding RNA, 1012 nt
Organism: Aedes albopictus (Asian tiger mosquito)
Lineage: Eukaryota; Metazoa; Arthropoda; Insecta; Diptera; Culicidae
Exons: 2
Source: RefSeq, a predicted model, not a curated record
CCAAAACUGGAAUUUAGGAGCGUUUUAGUGCACGUCGUUUUGUGCACGAAACGUGCACGGCAUAGGCGCAAAACGUGCACGUUGGAUGGUGCGCAAACGCUCAUGCUCGGUUAUCGCAUACAUGCGUAACAAAAAUAGUAUCUGGAUACAAAGAUCGACCACUGAACUGCUCGACGAUGGAACUCGAACAAACUGCGAAUGAUGGUGCACGCACACAAGUACUGUAUGGAAUGUACAAACAGAUUCCGUACAGUAUAACCAACACUCAAGUGUGUGUGACCAAAAUCAUCUUGUAUCAGUUUGUUUUCAACCAUCGUCGUCGGUUCACGGUUUGCGGAAUCAAUCGCGAAUAUUUUACGAAUUAAAAUAGUUUUAAUAUAAAUGUUUGUUUUAAAUAAAGUGCAAGAAGUGAUUUCGGUGAAUACGUUUUAAAAACACCGUCGGACCGGUCGUCAUCAGCGGUGGCGCGGCGCGGCGGCGGUGGUGGCGAUAAUUGUUUUUGUUAUUUCGAUUUGGGGAAGUGGCUCAUCUGUCAGCAGCAUGCUGAUAAAGUGAAGGGCUUUUUUUCUUAAUCUACAAAAAAUAUAGCAUGCAGCCGGAAGUGAAAUUGGCAUGCAGAAGUGAACGGUCUGAGUCGACCAGUGUUAUAAUGAAAAAAAAAUAAAUAGUGAAAAUUGAAAUGAGCAGUGAUAAUGCCACCUAAGGGCACCGAUAGUUACGUGCGAAAUUGAAAGUGCGCGUGCGUGAAGCCGGAAAGAAAGUAUCAACAACAGCAAAUCCUUUGGACGUGCCCCCCACUCUACCUUUCAUGCGGCACUAUGGCAGCGCAGUAGCAAGAAAAUUAUUGGAAUAAAUAGGUGCAUGUGUGGGGAGGGAGGUGGUAGUGUUUCAUUACCAAAUUUCAAGUGAGUGAAGAAUUUGAAAGUAAUGAAGGAAGGCAGUGUGAAGUUGAGGAGGAUUUAAACCUAAGAUCGCUCAAGUCCAGAAGGAUUGGAAACGGUCGGCGUGUGAC